UGGGAUGCAGGCAGCAAGACCUUGUUGUGAUGGUUGAAGUUUGAAGAUUAAACUUUUGCGAAUAAUGUGAACGGAAAUGGAAAUGUAGCAUUUGACGGAAGGCGAUAAUUUCCAGUCCGCCGCGCAGUCGUCGUUGCCCACGGAGAAAAAGAAGAAUAAGAAGAACCAUGGUUUUGUCUGAGGGUGGGGCUUGCGUGUGUAUAGGUAAAAAGUAUAGCAAGUUGUUGGGAUAAUGAUGUUAGAGCUUUUCUUGUUUGACUUUGCAGUUCAAGGAUGGCGUUCUUCAAUUCCACCUCAACUUUUUGUAUUCUGCUAACUACUGUGGACGAACAUUACAGGUGAGGAAGAGGGCAAGAUUUUCAAACAUCAAGAUUCUUAUCGGCAUCAGUUUUAUGCUGAAGAACUCGAGACACCGUGCGAAAUAGGUAACCGUACAUAAUUAUGCUCUUUCUGUUUGAUGUUCAAACCUUGAGACUGCCUGCUUGGAUUAUAAAUGGUAGCUGACCUUAGUUUUUAGGACACUGCUUGUUGUCAUUGACCACAGAAGGAGAUUCGGCUAAGAUUUCCUAGCUGUCAUUAAGACGUUCUAGCAAUUAAGGUUUCAACGAUAAGAUCAAAAAGAUUGCUUGAGCUUUAUUCGAAAUCUAGUGUGCAAAUGGCUCCGUACUUGCUUAAGUCAAUGCAUAUCUCUCAACAAGUCACCAAUAAGGUGAGAAUAAUAUGAAGUGGACUAAUCUUAAUUUGAUUUGUUUAUGAGCAUUUAGUCUUGACUUUUCUAGAGCCCCUUCCUUGACUUCACAUCAAAUGCAAGCUACACGACGAUACCUGACCGAGUACCGGGUGUAGAGGUAUACUUUAAAAUAUAGCUUUGUAUGAAUCAACUGCCGAAUUUAUUAAUCUUUGGACUUUUUUUUUAUUAUUAUUAUUGGAGGAUAUUCCUUUUAAUGCUUAGAACGAUUGAGCUCUAGCCAUUGAGACAAAUGUCUAUGACUAAAAGAUCAAAAGUUAAAAUCUCUUCACUCACAUGUUGUUGAACUAAAAGAACUGUUUUAUAGAACGGUGAUGGAGGCAGUUUGUAUGGCUCUUCGAACCAAGCUAGAUAGUUUCCUAUCACUAGGCUCACUGACAUCUUCAAGAGUUUUAGUUGAACAGGUGCACUCACUGAAGGAAGCUUUCCGACACGAGUUCCACUGGUUCAGAUUAGGAAAGAGCAGGUAGAGAAGAGAACACUUAACUUUGACCUCACCCGAUAGAUAUGCAAUAAAUGAAUAAAUAACUGAGUUUACUUUUUGUGUUAGCUUUUCAUUUUUAUACUCAAUGUCACCACUUGUUUGAAAUUCCCUGCAUUUGGUACUCUCUUCCUUCCUCCAUCAUCCAAUGAAUAUGUUUCUUUACAUUGGAA
Molecule: long non-coding RNA, 1402 nt
Organism: Cucurbita maxima (winter squash)
Lineage: Eukaryota; Viridiplantae; Streptophyta; Magnoliopsida; Cucurbitales; Cucurbitaceae
Exons: 3
Source: RefSeq, a predicted model, not a curated record